This 429-nucleotide ribosomal RNA is filed under the name Gemmatimonadota bacterium. RNAcentral's name for it is "Gemmatimonadetes bacterium partial 16S ribosomal RNA". It matches the Rfam family "Bacterial small subunit ribosomal RNA", at positions 355 to 776 of the family's 1533-position model. The record is from RNAcentral. Lineage: Bacteria; Pseudomonadati; Gemmatimonadota.
UAGGGAAUCUUCGGCAAUGGACGAAAGUCUGACCGAGCAACGCCGCGUGAGUGAAGAAGGUUUUCGGAUCGUAAAACUCUGUUGUUAGAGAAGAACAAGGACGUUAGUAACUGAACGUCCCCUGACGGUAUCUAACCAGAAAGCCACGGCUAACUACGUGCCAGCAGCCGCGGUAAUACGUAGGUGGCAAGCGUUGUCCGGAUUUAUUGUGCGUAAAGCGAGCGCAGGCGGUUUCUUAAGUGUGAUGUGAAAGGCCCCGGCUCAACCGGGGAGGGUGAUUGGAAACUGGGAGACUUGAGUGCAGAAGAGGAGAGUGGAAUUCCAUGUGUAGCGGUGAAAUGCGUAGAUAUAUGGAGGAACACCAGUGGCGAAGGCGGCUCUCUGGUCUGUAACUGACGCUGAGGCAAGAAAGCGUGGGGAGCAAACAGG